AUGUCUCUGGGUGUGCUGAGCUGGAAUGUGAGGGGGAUGAAUAACCCCGCGAGGCGUUCGUCUAUUAGACUUUUUAUGCAAUCCUGUAAUGCUGCUCUUGUUUGUCUGCAAGAAUCUAAGCUUGACAGUGUUGAUGCGUCGGUGGUUUGUAAUACUCUUGGGCCAGGGUUCGGUGGUUUUGAGUCUUUGCCGGCGGUGGGCACCCGAGGGGGCAUUUUGAUGGCUUGGAAGCCUGACGUGCUGCGUGUCAUGGUUGUUCACAGAGGCGAGUUCUCGAUUACGGCCAAUGUUCUGUCUAUGGUGGAUGGCAAGGCUUGGAUGGUGUCCUCAGUGUAUGGGCCACAGGCAGUGGAUGACAAGGUGAGGUUUUUGCAGGAGACCGAGCUCAUUGGGCAGCAGGUGCAACUCCCUUGGAUCAUCAACGGGGAUUUCAACCUGGUCAGAGGAGAGGGGGAGCGCAGCUCGGGGAGGGCUGAUCGAAGGAUGGUCAGUAAGUUCAGGCACACCAUAAACUGUCUCGGUUUGCUGAUAUGCCGCUGGUGGGCAGAAAGUUUACUUGGUGCAAUGAUCAACAAAGAGCUGUCAUGGCUAGACUUGACAGGGUGCUUUUUAACAACGAGUGGGAAGAGGUAUAUCCCAUCAGUGAUCUCAUGGCUCUGA
RNAcentral lists this ribosomal RNA (660 nucleotides) under Triticum aestivum (bread wheat). Its description in RNAcentral is "partial small subunit ribosomal RNA". The record is from RNAcentral. Lineage: Eukaryota; Viridiplantae; Streptophyta; Magnoliopsida; Poales; Poaceae.